This 497-nucleotide ribosomal RNA is filed under the name uncultured bacterium. Its description in RNAcentral is "partial 16S ribosomal RNA". It matches the Rfam family "Bacterial small subunit ribosomal RNA", at positions 28 to 507 of the family's 1533-position model. The record is from RNAcentral.
GAUGAACGCUGGCGGCGUGCCUAAUACAUGCAAGUCGAGCGAACGGACGAGAAGCUUGCUUCUCUGAUGUUAGCGGCGGACGGGUGAGUAACACGUGGAUAACCUACCUAUAAGACUGGGAUAACUUCGGGAAACCGGAGCUAAUACCGGAUAAUAUUUUGAUCCGUUUGGUUCAAAAGUAAAAGACGGCCUUCCUGUCUCUUUUAAAUGCUUCCCCGCUGCAUUAGCUGGUUGGUAAGUUAACGGCUUACCAAGGCAACGAUGCAUAGCCGACCUGAGAGGGUGAUAGGCCACACUGGAACUGAGACACGGUCCAGACUACUACGGGAGGCAGCAGUAGGGAAUCUUACGCAAUGGGCGAAAGCCUGACGGAGCAACGCCGCGUGAGUGAUGAAGGUCUUCGGAUCGUAAAACUCUGUUAUUAGGGAAGAACAUAUGUGUAAGUAACUGUGCACAUCUUGACGGUACCUAAUCAGAAAGCCACGGCUAACUACGUG